Molecule: ribosomal RNA, 1489 nt
Filed under: uncultured bacterium
Lineage: Bacteria
Description: bacterial SSU rRNA
Rfam family: Bacterial small subunit ribosomal RNA
Source: RNAcentral
AGAGUUUGAUCCUGGCUCAGGAUGAACGCUAGCUACAGGCUUAACACAUGCAAGUCGAGGGGCAGCAUGGUCUUAGCUUGCUAAGGCCGAUGGCGACCGGCGCACGGGUGAGUAACACGUAUCCAACCUGCCGUCUACUCUUGGACAGCCUUCUGAAAGGAAGAUUAAUACAAGAUGGCAUCAUGAGUCCGCAUGUUCACAUGAUUAAAGGUAUUCCGGUAGACGAUGGGGAUGCGUUCCAUUAGAUAGUAGGCGGGGUAACGGCCCACCUAGUCUUCGAUGGAUAGGGGUUCUGAGAGGAAGGUCCCCCACAUUGGAACUGAGACACGGUCCAAACUCCUACGGGAGGCAGCAGUGAGGAAUAUUGGUCAAUGGGCGAGAGCCUGAACCAGCCAAGUAGCGUGAAGGAUGACUGCCCUAUGGGUUGUAAACUUCUUUUAUAAAGGAAUAAAGUCGGGUAUGGAUACCCGUUUGCAUGUACUUUAUGAAUAAGGAUCGGCUAACUCCGUGCCAGCAGCCGCGGUAAUACGGAGGAUCCGAGCGUUAUCCGGAUUUAUUGGGUUUAAAGGGAGCGUAGAUGGAUGUUUAAGUCAGUUGUGAAAGUUUGCGGCUCAACCGUAAAAUUGCAGUUGAUACUGGAUAUCUUGAGUGCAGUUGAGGCAGGCGGAAUUCGUGGUGUAGCGGUGAAAUGCUUAGAUAUCACGAAGAACUCCAAUUGCGAAGGCAGCCUGCUAAGCUGCAACUGACAUUGAGGCUCGAAAGUGUGGGUAUCAAACAGGAUUAGAUACCCUGGUAGUCCACACGGUAAACGAUGAAUACUCGCUGUUUGCGAUAUACUGCAAGCGGCCAAGCGAAAGCGUUAAGUAUUCCACCUGGGGAGUACGCCGGCAACGGUGAAACUCAAAGGAAUUGACGGGGGCCCGCACAAGCGGAGGAACAUGUGGUUUAAUUCGAUGAUACGCGAGGAACCUUACCCGGGCUUAAAUUGCAGAUGAAUUACGGUGAAAGCCGUAAGCCGCAAGGCAUCUGUGAAGGUGCUGCAUGGUUGUCGUCAGCUCGUGCCGUGAGGUGUCGGCUUAAGUGCCAUAACGAGCGCAACCCUUGUUGUCAGUUACUAACAGGUUCUGCUGAGGACUCUGACAAGACUGCCAUCGUAAGAUGUGAGGAAGGUGGGGAUGACGUCAAAUCAGCACGGCCCUUACGUCCGGGGCUACACACGUGUUACAAUGGGGGGUACAGAGGGCCGCUACCACGCGAGUGGAUGCCAAUCCCAAAAACCUCUCUCAGUUCGGACUGGAGUCUGCAACCCGACUCCACGAAGCUGGAUUCGCUAGUAAUCGCGCAUCAGCCACGGCGCGGUGAAUACGUUCCCGGGCCUUGUACACACCGCCCGUCAAGCCAUGGGAGCCGGGGGUACCUGAAGUGCGUAACCGCGAGGAGCGCCCUAGGGUAAAACUGGUGACUGGGGCUAAGUCGUAACAAGGUAGAA